GGUAUUUUGACCGUGCAAAGGUAGCAUAAUCAUUAGUUUUUUAAUUGAAAGCUGGAAUGAAAGGUUGGAUGAGAAAUAAGCUGUCUCUAUUUAAUUUUAUUAGAAUUUUAUUUUUAAGUAAAAAAGCUUAAAUUUUAAUAGAAGACGAGAAGACCCUAUAGAGUUUUAUUUAUUUUUUAAAUAAAAUUAAUAGUAUUAAUUAUUUUUAUUUAAUAUAUAAAUUUAAUUGGGGUGAUUGAAAAAUUUAAUAAACUUUUUUUGUAUAUACACAUUGAUAUAUGGUUGAUUGAUCCUUAAUUUAAGAUUAAAAGAUAAAAUUACCUUAGGGAUAACAGCGUAAUUUUUUUUAAGAGUUCAAAUCGAAAAAAAAGAUUGCGACCUCGAUGUUGGAUUAAAAUAAAAUUUUGGUGUAGAAGCUAAAA
RNAcentral lists this ribosomal RNA (422 nucleotides) under Laparocerus inaequalis inaequalis. Its description in RNAcentral is "partial 16S ribosomal RNA". Lineage: Eukaryota; Metazoa; Arthropoda; Insecta; Coleoptera; Curculionidae. The record is from RNAcentral.